GUGAGAACAUCUCAGCAAAAUACUAGUAGCCACUGGUCAUUUCUCAGGUCUUUGGAUCAGCAACAGUUCAGAAAUGAAGAUGAUGACAUUUGUGAAGGAGGCACCACUGAUAAGCUGCUGGCCUGCUAUCCUGCUGCUCAGACCGUGCAGUGGAGAUCAAAACGAUGCUCAUGGCUUCCAGCACCACUGUAUAGACCAACACUACCCAAACCUGUCCCUUUGAUUUUCCUUUGAAGACUACUGAAGGGUUUGCUGCUCCCCUGCUUCCUGGACCCCAAAGCAAGGAGUGAAGCCACUUCAUGUGCUGGACAUGGGUAGGAAAGAGCAAGGCAAUGCUGCAGGACAGCAUUAACCAGUGGGUGAAGAAAGUGCUGAGGAGAGUUACUGCAGAGAAUGACCCGACAGCUUUAAAGCUGGUUUGAGAACGAGCCCUGUCCUUUUUUCACUGCCCUCACGACCUGGAGAAGAGAUCUGGGGCCGGCCAUGCUCACGUUUGCUACACAGUUGACAGACGGUGCUGUGGAGCAAGAAGUACUGCAAGGGCUCCAAGAUUGCUGUUGCGUUAUAAAUAUGAACACAGUACGUACAAUUAAAGAACUUUAAUGCUUG
Strigops habroptila (Kakapo) is the source of this 609-nucleotide long non-coding RNA. RefSeq lists it as uncharacterized. The record is from RefSeq and is a predicted model, not a curated record. The transcript has 3 exons. Lineage: Eukaryota; Metazoa; Chordata; Aves; Psittaciformes; Psittacidae.